AUACGGAGGAUCCGAGCGUUAUCCGGAUUUAUUGGGUUUAAAGGGAGCGUAGGCGGACGCUUAAGUCAGUUGUGAAAGUUUGCGGCUCAACCGUAAAAUUGCAGUUGAUACUGGGUGUCUUGAGUACAGUAGAGGCAGGCGGAAUUCGGGGUGUAGCGGUGAAAUGCUUAGAUAUCACGAAGAACUCCGAUUGCGAAGGCAUCCUGCUGGACUGUAACUGACGCUGAUGCUCGAAAGUGUGGGUAUCAAACAGGAUUAGAUACCCUGGUAGUCCACACAGUAAACGAUGAAUACUCGCUGUUUGCGAUAUACAGUAAGCGGCCAAGCGAAAGCGUUAAGUAUUCCACCUGGGGAGUACGCCGGCAACGGUGAAACUCAAAGGAAUUGACGGGG
Molecule: ribosomal RNA, 393 nt
Filed under: uncultured bacterium
Lineage: Bacteria
Description: partial 16S ribosomal RNA
Rfam family: Bacterial small subunit ribosomal RNA
Source: RNAcentral